CCUACGGGUGGCAGCAGUGGGGAAUAUUGCACAAUGGGGGAAACCCUGAUGCAGCGACGCCGCGUGAGUGAAGAAGUAUUUCGGUAUGUAAAGCUCUAUCAGCAGGGAAGAAAUAAAGUCCUUCGGACUUUGGACGGUACCUGACGAAGAAGCCCCGGCUAACUACGUGCCAGCAGCCGCGGUAAGACGGAGGGGGCAAGCGUUAUCCGGAUUGAAUGGGUGGAAAGGGAGCGUAGACGGCAGCGCAAGUCUGGAGUGAAAUCCCAUGGCUUAACCAUGGAACUGCUUUGGAGACUGUGCAGCUGGAGUGCAGGAGAGGUAAGCGGAAUUCCUAGGGUAGCGGUGAAAUGCGUAGAUAUUAGGAGGAACACCAGUGGCGAAGGCGGCUUACUGGACUGUAACUGACGUUGAGGCUCGAAAGCGUGGGGAGCAAACAGGAUUAGAUACCCGGGUAGUC
RNAcentral lists this ribosomal RNA (457 nucleotides) under uncultured bacterium. RNAcentral describes it as "partial 16S ribosomal RNA". It matches the Rfam family "Bacterial small subunit ribosomal RNA", at positions 338 to 795 of the family's 1533-position model. The record is from RNAcentral.